GGCUCGGUGGUGUAGUUGGUUAUCACGUCAGUCUAACAAGCUCCUCGCUUGGCAGCACACUGAAGGUCCCGAGUUCAAACCUCGGCUGAGUCA
RNAcentral lists this transfer RNA (93 nucleotides) under Corynespora cassiicola Philippines. RNAcentral describes it as "tRNA-Val". The record is from RNAcentral. Lineage: Eukaryota; Fungi; Ascomycota; Dothideomycetes; Pleosporales; Corynesporascaceae.